This 1311-nucleotide unclassified non-coding RNA is filed under the name Hermetia illucens (black soldier fly). RNAcentral describes it as "tetraspanin-5, transcript variant X3". Lineage: Eukaryota; Metazoa; Arthropoda; Insecta; Diptera; Stratiomyidae. The record is from RNAcentral.
CGCUUGUCAUACGUCAAAUCACCUGAAUUAAAAAAGCUACAGUGGUGACAGUGUGCAUGACUUUGUUUGCGAUGGAAUUUCCGUUUUCUAUGAACUCGCUCUAAUUUUUGUUAAUCUACGUGUUCGUUUCCUAACUAUAAACAAUCCAAUUAUCUGUAAAUGAAUUCCGAUCCGGGCUUGUGACCGUGUCGUACCUCGAUUUGUCGUGAACAACCGGACGUGAGCCUGCCCAGCGACGAAGUCUGCUUUUCGCUACAAAUGCCAUCAACAUUCAGAAAAAAACGAUGCCCGUAAGAAAAUAUCGACGCGAAACGAGUGAAAUCAGCUGCUGUCUGAAGUAUGUGAUCUUCAGUUUCAAUGUCUUCUUUUGGCUGCUCGGCCUUUGCAUUCUGGCUGUGGGCUUGUGGGCCUGGACCGAAAAGGACAUCUUCAAUAAUAUCUCCAAAGUGACCUACAUUGCACUCGAUCCAGCGUUCGUUCUGAUCUGCAUUGGCGCCGUCACUUUCAUCAUUGGCUUCACGGGAUGCGUGGGUGCAUUGCGGGAGAACACUUGUCUGCUGGCGGCGUAUGCCAUAUUUUUGUCACUUCUUCUAUUAAUAGAAUUAAGUCUAGGAACCUUAGCCUUUGUACUGAAAGAUAAGGGAUGGAUAAAAGAUCGAGCCACCGAAGGGCUUAGAACUUUUAUUACACAUUAUCGUGAAGAUCCCGAUCAACAAAAUCUAAUUGAUUGGAUACAAGAAGACUGGCUCCAAUGUUGCGGCAUUGAAGGUCCAAAAGAUUGGGACAAUAAUAAUUAUUUCAAUUGCUCAUCAAGCGCGGUGGGUAGUCGUGAAGCUUGCGGUGUGCCAUUUUCAUGUUGUAAACAAAAGCCAAAUGAAUUUAUAAAAAAUAAGCAAUGCGGCUAUGAUGUACGAAAGGAGAAUUAUCAAUCGACUGAACGUCAUAUUUAUGAACGGGGAUGUUUACGGGCCGGUGAAGAUUGGUUAGAAGGUCAUUUAGUUCCUGUGGCUGCAGCCUGUGUUAGUGUUAUGAUACUUCAGCUUGACGAAAUCAGUUAUAAAUUUCGUUUAAAAAAAUACAAAUAGUUCUCCCCAUCAGAUGCACUGCUCGGUCCUUAUUGAAUAAUCAUGGAUGUGAGGCACUAACUCUGGAUGAGAAAAUGCAUAAGUCACAACUAACACUUGCAUGGAGCACAGUUUUGAUGUUUCGAAAAUAAUUUACGAAAAAGGUUGCGUCCAAGCCGGCGAAGAGUGGAUGGAACGUAAUCUUAUCAUAAUUGCUUCGUCGGCAAUAUUUUUAAUUUUUAUGCAG